Gigantopelta aegis is the source of this 557-nucleotide long non-coding RNA. RefSeq lists it as uncharacterized. The transcript has 4 exons. NCBI's taxonomy places the organism in Eukaryota, Metazoa, Mollusca, Gastropoda, Neomphalida, Peltospiridae. The record is from RefSeq and is a predicted model, not a curated record.
GUUUCUAUGAAAACGAGUUUCAAACAUAAGAGCCGUUGGAUAUAUUUAGCGUAUCGGAUAGUAUGACUUAUUUUUAUCACUGUGGGUAACAAACAGCCUGGCGUACUGUGAGGCAAGACCUGGAUCCGCGGACAGUGUUACUUUGUGAAGGAACGUAGACCUAUUCUGCAGUUGUGCCACAAUGAACUCCAGGAUAUUCUGCUUGGUUGUCAUGAGUGUUAGUGUAAUUUGUAAGUGUACUGGUCUACCAUCUCGCCGUACGACGUAUCCGACGACUCCCGGGCCCCCCACCACAACAGCCGAGUGUAAAACAGGGGAUUCCACACAACGCAAUUGCUAUGCCUUUUACUGUUACAACGGGCGUUGGCAGCCGUUUGAAUUUAUUAAAAGCGAACAUUGCUGCAAAACGCAUGUCCCUCCACAUCCAAUGUGCUAUGAGAUCUUCCCAGAACUUGGAAGUACGCCAUCCUGGAUUGGUUAGAAAAGGUGUGUGUAUGUAUCUAUUAAGAGAUAACACAUAAUCACGGUUUGCUUAAUAAAACGAAUAUUCAAUUCUC